GAGACAGCAGAUGUUACAUGCUUCACAUGGGUAAAAAUAGGCAUUUCUACUGAGAGGGUCAUCCUUUUAUUAAAAUAUCCUUUCAUCUUCCUGUCUGAUGUAGAAGUCACAUUUUCAGUGUUAUAGAUGAAAGGAACAUAAUGUUUUCAAUAGGAAGGAUACUCAGGAAUUUCUCUUUUGCUUAACGUGAGUUCCCUGGAACUAACACAAAUAUAAAAAGCUGUAAUAAAACUGCAAAUAAAUACUUUUACAUUUUCUCCUACCUUCAGCAAAACCAUAGAGCCUUUCCCUGUGCCCCUCACCUAAAAACACUGGUUCACAACAACAGUCAAUCAUCUCUUUUAUAUUUACAACACACCAUCUCAUUAAAUAACGUUUGGCAGUUAGGACUGAGUUAAUCUCGAAGCAAAGCCUGAAGGAUUUCUGUGUUUAUAGUCAGAGGUGCUAGACUGCAUUUGCAGUGCUGAAAUUGUUGCUGGGGAAAGCAAAAACUUCCACACAAAUAAUAACAUAUGCCUUGUUGUUCUUGAGACAACAUCAGAGAAAUAAAACAUAGGAUUUGUUCCCCUCCCUCUGAGUGAAAGAAGCCUAAUUUUUCAUGUGAUCAAAAAUAAACAAUUUUAAGAGAGACCCUAGCCCCAGAUCAUCAUUUAUUAGAAUACAAUAAAGAAAUACUACUGUCUGUAAUGCACUGAAGUAUCUGCAAAACUGAAACAAGAGCAUGGGUUUUGAAUUGCUGAUAAAUUUCUGUAGUUGCACAAAGCAAGCCUUGACUUCCAUCAUGUUCUACUUGCAGGCAAAGCCUCCAGAAUCUGGGCUAUUAUUUCUAAGUGGUGUCUGUAUGAUCCUGACUACAUUUUGGUUAUAUUGCAGAGAUCUAAAAAUGCAUUGCAUCUGUCUUUUGAACUAUCAGAACAUGAAGCAUAGACAAAUCAAAGAGGCAGGUGAAGUGAAAUUCAGUAAAGAACUGUAUUUCUAUAAUAAAUCAACAGCCUCAAUAGAAAAAUGAAACAAUUUUUUGACUGAAAAAAGUAAGUGGUAGCUGACUUUUGCCCUCUUGCCCUUAUACAGCUCAUAAUGUUGAGAUUAAACAAUUAAACGCCUCAUUCUGCAAACCUGCUGUGUGAAUUCAGUAAUCAAAUCAGGAGUUCAAAGUGCAUUCUUUAAAAACAAGCCCCUCAAUACAGACUGAAACCUAUUGAGCUACACACAUUAGAGAUGGCUUAAAUAAAUCUAUAGAGAUGGUACUACA
This 1252-nucleotide long non-coding RNA is filed under the name Parus major (Great Tit). RNAcentral's name for it is "lncRNA (ENSPMJG00000006851.1)". Lineage: Eukaryota; Metazoa; Chordata; Aves; Passeriformes; Paridae. The record is from RNAcentral.